Molecule: long non-coding RNA, 1551 nt
Organism: Canis lupus familiaris (dog)
Lineage: Eukaryota; Metazoa; Chordata; Mammalia; Carnivora; Canidae
Exons: 3
Source: RefSeq, a predicted model, not a curated record
CGCAAAGCGAGGACGGCACAGAAGGCAUACGCACGACAGUUCUACACCCCGCCGCGGCUGAAUUGCAGAAAGAAGGGGGUGGGGCCUGCUGGUCGUCACAGGGACAGCUCGCGCCUGCGCCACGCGACUCUUGACUGGCCCGCCCCGCAGGCGACGGAGGCCAAUGGGAGUCCCGCUUGGAGGUGCGAGGCGCGGAGGGUAAACCGAGAACUAGCUGGAAAGCCUCCUCUUCCCGGCGACGUGGCACGGCUGCCAACUCCGCGCCGUGCCAGGUCCCAGGGGCGUUCCCCUCCAGCUCGGAAACCCGCGGUGACUUGACGGAGAUCCUUCCAGGCCCCUAACGUCAGGACUGGGGGACUCUCACUAGGGGCGGAAACCAGUCCUGUGUGCCUAACCCUCGACCCUGAGCCCAACAGCGGAGGGUGUACACAAGAGGCCGAACUCGCUCAUCGAGCUCAGAGCAGAGACUCAGGAAGCGAGAGUUGUGCAGAGCCAGCCUGGAACAAAGACAAGGGUGUACCGGUUACUGAGGGAGACGUCACCAUGAAGACCUGAAGGCCGAUGACAAAACUUGACCACAGGGCGUCUGGCAGAGGGUACAGUCUGGACUCGGUACACUCCAGGGACACAGCCCCGAAGAAUGGAUCCCACCAACUCCAGCAUUGCUGCCCCCUCUGGUUUCUCCCCCUUCAGGGCCUCUGCCAGUUCCAGGGCCUUCCCCAAGUUCCCCUCUCCCAGGUCCUCCUGCAGUGGUGAGGCUGGAGGCAGGGACUGGGGAGAGGCGAGGGUCUCAGAGGCCAAAGCAGAGUCUGGAGUCUGGGGUGCCAGGGAAGAGGAAGGAGUUUCAAAAUCCAGGGCUUCUGAGUCUGGAGGAGAAGGAGGCUGUGAAUCUGGAGGGGAAGCUGGGGUACAGGCCAGGGCUUGAGGAUCCAGUGGUGAUGCAAGGGCUGAGUCCAAAGAUGGAGACUCUGGGGCCUUUGGGGCUGGCUGUGGAUAGAAAUGAGCUCAGUGAAUUAUUCACCUCUCAUGCUGUCCCCCAUUUGGGCAACAUCCCCCAAGAUCUAUCAUUACUGCUUAUGUGCCAGGCCCUGGUCCAGGGGUUUUAUAUAUACGAACUCUAUUUCACAACCUCUUAUUAAAAUUAAAAAUAACGUUUUAAUGCCACAAAAUAAGUGGUCUGUAUUCUACCAAGAUGUCACUGUCAUGAAAAGACCAAAGAAGGCAGAGGAACUGUAAAGGAGUCUGAGGGGGACAACACAAGCCUGCUGGUGGGCAGCUGAUGAAAGCGGAGGAUGGGCUGCAGACUAAAGUCUCCUAACAUUUUACGCUUGCAUAAGGUAACAUGUCUGUCCUGCGGCUGUACACAAGGAUGCCUUUUUGUUUCCCUACUGGACACUGGACUGUGACAGGCAUCAUGUACGCAACCUGCCCUCAAAUGAUUCUGAAAAUAUAAAGUGUAUAUGUGUGCAUGUGUACAUACAUAGGGAGAAUGAUAAAACAAAUUUAUUUUUUAAAUAACCCAUUUUGUGGGGUGCCUGGGUGGCUCAGUGG